AGUGAACGCUGGCGGUAGGCCUAACACAUGCAAGUCGAACGGCAGCACAGUAAGAGCUUGCUCUUACGGGUGGCGAGUGGCGGACGGGUGAGGAAUACCUCGGAAUCUACUUUUUCGUGGGGGAUAACGUAGGGAAACUUACGCUAAUACCGCAUACGUCCUACGGGUGAAAGCUGGGGAUCUUCGGACCUUGCGCGAUUGAAUGAGCCGCUGUCGGAUUAGCUAGUUGGCGGGGUAAAGGCCCACCAAGGCGACGAUCCGUAGCUGGUCUGAGAGGAUGAUCAGCCACACUGGAACUGAGACACGGUCCAGACUCCUACGGGAGGCAGCAGUGGGGAAUAUUGGACAAUGGGCGCAAGCCUGAUCCAGCCAUACCGCGUGGGUGAAGAAGGCCUUCGGGUUGUAAAGCCCUUUUGUUGGGAAAGAAAAGCAGCAGGUUAAUACCCCGCUGUUCUGACGGUACCCAAAGAAUAAGCACCGGCUAACUUCGUG
This 492-nucleotide ribosomal RNA is filed under the name uncultured bacterium. Its description in RNAcentral is "partial 16S ribosomal RNA". It matches the Rfam family "Bacterial small subunit ribosomal RNA", at positions 29 to 507 of the family's 1533-position model. The record is from RNAcentral.